UGGGGAAUUUUGCGCAAUGGGCGAAAGCCUGACGCAGCGACGCCGCGUGCGGGAUGAAGGCUUUCGGGUCGUAAACCGCUGUCGCGAGGGACGAACAACCUUGGGAUGAAUAAGCCCAGGGCCUGACGGUACCUCGUGAGAAAGCCCCGGCUAACUACGUGCCAGCAGCCGCGGUAAUACGUAGGGGGCAAGCGUUGUUCGGAAUUACUGGGCGUAAAGGGUCCGCAGGCGGCCAUGCAAGUUGAGGGUGAAAUCCCCGAGCUCAACUCGGGAAUUGCCUUCAAAACUGCGUGGCUUGAGUCCGGUAGAGGGAGAUGGAAUUCUCGGUGUAGCGGUGAAAUGCGUAGAUAUCGAGAGGAACACCAGCGGCAAAGGCGAUCUUCUGGACCGGUACUGACGCUGAGGGACGAAAGCGUGGGGAGCAAACAGG
Molecule: ribosomal RNA, 430 nt
Filed under: uncultured bacterium
Lineage: Bacteria
Description: bacterial SSU rRNA
Rfam family: Bacterial small subunit ribosomal RNA
Source: RNAcentral